Molecule: ribosomal RNA, 1472 nt
Filed under: uncultured bacterium
Lineage: Bacteria
Description: 16S ribosomal RNA
Rfam family: Bacterial small subunit ribosomal RNA
Source: RNAcentral
CGCUGGCGGCGUGCCUUAACACAUGCAAGUCGAGCGAUCGGCCUUGCGAGGGGUAACCCUCCUUGGUACGGAGCGGCGAACGGGUGAGUAACACGUGGGCGACCUGCCCUUGACUCUGGGAUAACUCCGGGAAACCGGGGCUAAUACCGGAUGACAUCGCAGCACCGCAUGGUGCAGCGAUCAGAGACUCUUGGCAGUCAGGGAUGGGCCCGCAGCCUAUCAGCUUGUUGGUGGGGUAACGGCCUACCAAGGCCUCGACCGGUAACUGGCGUGAGAGCGUGGACAGGCCACACUGGGACUGAGACACGGCCCACACUCCUACAGUCAGGCAGCAGUGGGGAAUCUUGCACUAUGGGCGAAAGCCUGACGCACGUCGACGCCGCGUGAGGGAUGAAGGCCCUCGUGUUGCAAACCUCUUUCUGCAGGGACGAAGCGAAAGUGACGGUACCUGCAUAACAAGCCCCAGCUAACUACGUGCCAGCAGCCGCGGUAAGACUUAGGGGGCGAGCGUUGUCCGGAUUCGUGGGGCGUAAAGGGUGCGUAUGCUGUGGGGCAUGUCUGAUGUGAAAUCCCGGGGCUCAACCCCGGAUCUGCAUUGGAUACUGCCUUGCUAGACUACUGGAGAGGAGACUGGAAUUUACGGGGUAACGGGGCAAUGCGUAUACAUCGUAAGGAAGACCAGUGACGAAGGCGAGUCUCUGGACAGUUACUGACGAUGAGGCACGAAGACCAGGGGAGCAAACGGGAGUAGAUACCCCGGUAGUCCCGGCAGUAAACGGUGCGCGUUUGUUGUGGGAGGAAUAGACCCCGUCCGUGCUGGAGAUAACGCGUUAAACGCGCCGCUCUGGAGAGUACGGUCGCAAGAUUAAAACUCAGAGAAAUUGACGGGGGCCCGCACAAGCGGUGGAGUAUGUGGCUUAAUUAGAUGCAACGCGGAGCACCUUACCUGGGUUUGACAUGCAUCUCUAAGUCGGUGAAAGCCGGCGACUGGAGCAAUCCAGAAUUUGCACAGGUGCUGCAUGGCUGUCGUCAGCUCGUGUCGUGAGAUGUUGGGUUAAGUCCCGCAACGAGCGCAACCCCUGUGAUCUGUUGCCACCCACCCGCGAGGGUGGAGCACUGUGAUCAGACUGCCCUGUGAGACGGGGAGGAAGGUGGGGAUGACGUCAAGUCAGCAUGGCCCUUACACCCAGGGCUGCACACGUAAUACAAUGUUCAGUACAGAAUGAACCGAUACCGCGAGGUGGAGGAAAUCUUUAAAAUUGAGCCCAAUUCGGAUCUCAGGAUGCAACUUGCAUGCGUGAAGCAGGAAUCGUUAGUAAUGGUGCAUCAGCUACGGCGCCGUGAAUACGUUGCUCGGGCCUAGUACACACCGCCCGUCACAUCAUGGGAGUCACUUGUUCCUGAAGCCGGUGCGCCAACCCGCAAGGGAGGCAGCCGCCUAAGGAAUGAGUGGUAACCUGGGAUGAAGUCGU